This 497-nucleotide ribosomal RNA is filed under the name uncultured bacterium. RNAcentral describes it as "partial 16S ribosomal RNA". It matches the Rfam family "Bacterial small subunit ribosomal RNA", at positions 28 to 507 of the family's 1533-position model. The record is from RNAcentral.
GACGAACGCUGGCGGCGUGCCUAAUACAUGCAAGUUGAGCGCUGAAGGUUGGUACUUGUACCCACUGGAUGAGCAGCGAACGGGUGAGUAACGCGUGGGGAAUCUGCCUUUGAGCGGGGGACAACAUUUGGAAACGAAUGCUAAUACCGCAUAAAAACUUUAAACACAAGUUUUAAGUUUGAAAGAUGCAAUUGCAUCACUCAAAGAUGAUCCCGCGUUGUAUUAGCUAGUUGGUGAGGUAAAGGCUCACCAAGGCGAUGAUACAUAGCCGACCUGAGAGGGUGAUCGGCCACAUUGGGACUGAGACACGGCCCAAACUCCUAAGGGAGGCAGCAGUAGGGAAUCUUCGGCAAUGGACGAAAGUCUGACCGAGCAACGCCGCGUGAGUGAAGAAGGUUUUCGGAUCGUAAAACUCUGUUGGUAGAGAAGAACGUUGGUGAGAGUGGAAAGCUCAUCAAGUGACGGUAACUACACAGAAAGGGACGGCUAACUACGUG